RNAcentral lists this unclassified non-coding RNA (95 nucleotides) under Candidatus Kentrum eta. Its description in RNAcentral is "Candidatus Kentron sp. H Alpha operon ribosome binding site". The record is from RNAcentral. Lineage: Bacteria; Pseudomonadati; Pseudomonadota; Gammaproteobacteria.
ACAAGCAGCGGCAAGGUUGAUGAUCAUAAUUUUGCGAAGCAAAAUUAUUGAGGGCUGAUUACAUGGCACGAAUUGCAGGGGUUAAUAUUCCCGAU